CGCAUGAUAAGCGCCGAUGGUCCCCGGCGACGGGGGUAAAAGGGAACGCGGUGCAAGGCCGCGGCUGCCCCCGCAACUGUCAUCGGUAAGCCGCGCGCCCUGAAGCCACUGGAGAAAUCCGGGAAGGCGGCGCAAGGCCAUGACCCGUAAGCCAGGAGACCUGCCAUCGUGAGCGCGUCAUU
RNAcentral lists this non-coding RNA (182 nucleotides) under Kozakia baliensis. Lineage: Bacteria; Pseudomonadati; Pseudomonadota; Alphaproteobacteria; Acetobacterales; Acetobacteraceae. The record is from RNAcentral.